CGGGAGUAACGCGUGAGGAACCUGCCUCAAAGAGGGGGACAACAGUUGGAAACGACUGCUAAUACCGCAUAAGCCCACGGCUCGGCAUCGAGCAGAGGGAAAAGGAGCGAUCCGCUUUGAGAUGGCCUCGCGUCCGAUUAGCUAGUUGGUGAGGUAACGGCCCACCAAGGCGACGAUCGGUAGCCGGACUGAGAGGUUGAACGGCCACAUUGGGACUGAGACACGGCCCAG
This 231-nucleotide ribosomal RNA is filed under the name uncultured bacterium. Its description in RNAcentral is "partial 16S ribosomal RNA". It matches the Rfam family "Bacterial small subunit ribosomal RNA", at positions 106 to 334 of the family's 1533-position model. The record is from RNAcentral.